ACGAACGCUGGCGGCGUGCUUAACACAUGCAAGUCGAACGGAAAGGCCCUGCUUUUGUGGGGUGCUCGAGUGGCGAACGGGUGAGUAACACGUGAGUAACCUGCCCUUGACUUUGGGAUAACUUCAGGAAACUGGGGCUAAUACCGGAUAGGAGCUCCUGCUGCAUGGUGGGGGUUGGAAAGUUUCGGCGGUUGGGGAUGGACUCGCGGCUUAUCAGCUUGUUGGUGGGGUAGUGGCUUACCAAGGCUUUGACGGGUAGCCGGCCUGAGAGGGUGACCGGCCACAUUGGGACUGAGAUACGGCCCAGACUCCUACGGGAGGCAGCAGUGGGGAAUAUUGCACAAUGGGCGGAAGCCUGAUGCAGCAACGCCGCGUGCGGGAUGACGGCCUUCGGGUUGUAAACCUCUUUCGCCUGUGACGAAGCGUGAGUGACGGUAAUGGGUAAAGAAGCACCGGCUAACUACGUG
RNAcentral lists this ribosomal RNA (467 nucleotides) under uncultured bacterium. Its description in RNAcentral is "partial 16S ribosomal RNA". It matches the Rfam family "Bacterial small subunit ribosomal RNA", at positions 29 to 507 of the family's 1533-position model. The record is from RNAcentral.